This is a non-coding RNA of Nothobranchius furzeri (turquoise killifish), 1166 nucleotides long. The record is from RefSeq and is a predicted model, not a curated record. NCBI's taxonomy places the organism in Eukaryota, Metazoa, Chordata, Actinopteri, Cyprinodontiformes, Nothobranchiidae.
UCGGUGUCUCCAGGCUACUGACCAAGUACCAAGGGCUUCAUCAAUCUAAAAGGAGUUUUUUCCAUCUGAAUGUGGCAGCAACGGGACACAGCAGCAGAGCGGUAAGCUUCAUAUCACUCUUAAAUGUCGACAAACUUUACUUUAGAUUUACGGGCAUUAGCAGCACUAAAGCGUUAGCAUCCGGCUUGCUAUCGCUAGCACAGUAUGCUAGUAAAGUUAGCACCCAGAUUAAUUUGGAUUUGGCUGAUUUUCGUGGAAUAAAACGUGAUUUCUGAUCAACGCCUUCUUUUACACCAGAUGAUAACCUCCCACUGAUUGUAACAGCAGAGAGUCUGUGUGUUAUUCUACGUGAGUGUGAUGUAAUCUUAGCAUCCAGUAAAUAAAGUCCCAUAUAAGCUAAAAUGCAGCGUGACAAAGUCAUUAAAGUGCGUCAACACAGUGGAUUUAAUAGAGUUUUAAAGAACGAUCUCUGAGUGGAGUGAGGUUAGUUUUUUGUCUCACUGCAGAUAUAUAAACUAACUGCAUCAGUCAGACGCAGCAAAGCUCACCGUCUGUAUGAGUGUGAGCGUCGGAAAGCUGAUAAAAUCAGCUGUAAAAUAAUUAAAACAAAAGUAGAAAUGGUCCUUUGCUUUUUUAGAGUCAACAUCCAGAAGACUGGAGCCGUGUUUCACUGACAGGCUGUCAGACUAACGCCCUGAUGAGCUCAGCUGGGACAAACUGGUCUGAUGUUUAGGAACACAGAACGUUCAGAUGUUGAAGCUUCACGUGACCUACUGAGGAAGGAGACCCACCAGUAAAGAGACGGUCUGGACCAGACCAAAAAUAUGGCGAUGACAUCAUGGAACUGGUCUUUGGAAAAGUUUUCCCUGAACCAACUCAGUUUCUAGAUGAGGUAGAGAAGAUCUGCAUCUCACCAACCCUCUGGUCUCAGUAUUCAGACAACGUAGGUCUCCCACUGUUAUCCAGGACCAGUUUGAAGCCCACAUACUGCCCCUCCCUCAUCACCAGGAAACAUCAAUCCGUAUCCUGAGGACAACAGAAGACGGCAGGAGGACAGGAACUCUGAGACCUAGAUACCACCAGCACCGGGACACAAAGCACCUGUGUGCACAACGCCUGUUUAACUACUAAAGCCUGUUUAUUAUAUUGUUCUACUUAUUUGCUGU